This 3011-nucleotide ribosomal RNA is filed under the name Salmonella enterica subsp. enterica serovar Typhimurium. RNAcentral's name for it is "23S ribosomal RNA". It matches the Rfam family "Bacterial large subunit ribosomal RNA". Lineage: Bacteria; Pseudomonadati; Pseudomonadota; Gammaproteobacteria; Enterobacterales; Enterobacteriaceae. The record is from RNAcentral.
GGGUUGUGAGGUUAAGCGACUAAGCGUACACGGUGGAUGCCCUGGCAGUCAGAGGCGAUGAAGGGCGUGCUAAUCUGCGAUAAGCGCCGGUAAGGUGAUAUGAACCGUUAUAACCGGCGAUACCCGAAUGGGGAAACCCAGUGUGAUUCGUCACACUAUCAUUAACUGAAUCCAUAGGUUAAUGAGGCGAACCGGGGGAACUGAAACAUCUAAGUACCCCGAGGAAAAGAAAUCAACCGAGAUUCCCCCAGUAGCGGCGAGCGAACGGGGAGGAGCCCAGAGCCUGAAUCAGCAUGUGUGUUAGUGGAAGCGUCUGGAAAGGCGCGCGAUACAGGGUGACAGCCCCGUACACAAAAGCGCAUGUGCUGUGAGCUCGAUGAGUAGGGCGGGACACGUGGUAUCCUGUCUGAAUAUGGGGGGACCAUCCUCCAAGGCUAAAUACUCCUGACUGACCGAUAGUGAACCAGUACCGUGAGGGAAAGGCGAAAAGAACCCCGGCGAGGGGAGUGAAAAAGAACCUGAAACCGUGUACGUACAAGCAGUGGGAGCACCCUUCGGGGUGUGACUGCGUACCUUUUGUAUAAUGGGUCAGCGACUUAUAUUCUGUAGCAAGGUUAACCGUAUAGGGGAGCCGGAGGGAAACCGAGUCUUAAUUGGGCGUUAAGUUGCAGGGUAUAGACCCGAAACCCGGUGAUCUAGCCAUGGGCAGGUUGAAGGUUGGGUAACACUAACUGGAGGACCGAACCGACUAAUGUUGAAAAAUUAGCGGAUGACCUGUGGCUGGGGGUGAAAGGCCAAUCAAACCGGGAGAUAGCUGGUUCUCCCCGAAAGCUAUUUAGGUAGCGCCUCGUGAAUUCAUCUCCGGGGGUAGAGCACUGUUUCGGCUAGGGGGCCAUCCCGGCUUACCAACCCGAUGCAAACUGCGAAUACCGGAGAAUGUUAUCACGGGAGACACACGGCGGGUGCUAACGUCCGUCGUGAAGAGGGAAACAACCCAGACCGCCAGCUAAGGUCCCAAAGUCAUGGUUAAGUGGGAAACGAUGUGGGAAGGCCCAGACAGCCAGGAUGUUGGCUUAGAAGCAGCCAUCAUUUAAAGAAAGCGUAAUAGCUCACUGGUCGAGUCGGCCUGCGCGGAAGAUGUAACGGGGCUAAACCAUGCACCGAAGCUGCGGCAGCGAACGUAUCACCCAAGACAACUUUACGGAGUUGACGAUUGACGGAGCGAAGCGACGUCAAAGCGUUCAUUAAAGUCGAGUUGGCUUAGGGAUACGUUCGUUGGGUAGGGGAGCGUUCUGUAAGCCUGUGAAGGUGUGUCGUGAGGCAUGCUGGAGGUAUCAGAAGUGCGAAUGCUGACAUAAGUAACGAUAAAGCGGGUGAAAAGCCCGCUCGCCGGAAGACCAAGGGUUCCUGUCCAACGUUAAUCGGGGCAGGGUGAGUCGACCCCUAAGGCGAGGCCGAAAGGCGUAGUCGAUGGGAAACGGGUUAAUAUUCCCGUACUUGGUGUUACUGCGAAGGGGGGACGGAGAAGGCUAUGUUGGCCGGGCGACGGUUGUCCCGGUUUAAGCGUGUAGGUGUGUGUUCCAGGUAAAUCCGGUUCACUUUAACACUGAGGCGUGACGACGAGGCACUACGGUGCUGAAGCAACAAAUGCCCUGCUUCCAGGAAAAGCCUCUAAGCAUCAGGUAACACGAAAUCGUACCCCAAACCGACACAGGUGGUCAGGUAGAGAAUACCAAGGCGCUUGAGAGAACUCGGGUGAAGGAACUAGGCAAAAUGGUGCCGUAACUUCGGGAGAAGGCACGCUGACACGUAGGUGAAGUGAUUUACUCACGGAGCUGAAGUCAGUCGAAGAUACCAGCUGGCUGCAACUGUUUAUUAAAAACACAGCACUGUGCAAACACGAAAGUGGACGUAUACGGUGUGACGCCUGCCCGGUGCCGGAAGGUUAAUUGAUGGGGUCAGCGCAAGCGAAGCUCCUGAUCGAAGCCCCGGUAAACGGCGGCCGUAACUAUAACGGUCCUAAGGUAGCGAAAUUCCUUGUCGGGUAAGUUCCGACCUGCACGAAUGGCGUAAUGAUGGCCAGGCUGUCUCCACCCGAGACUCAGUGAAAUUGAACUCGCUGUGAAGAUGCAGUGUACCCGCGGCAAGACGGAAAGACCCCGUGAACCUUUACUAUAGCUUGACACUGAACAUUGAGCCUUGAUGUGUAGGAUAGGUGGGAGGCUUUGAAGUGUGGACGCCAGUCUGCAUGGAGCCGACCUUGAAAUACCACCCUUUAAUGUUUGAUGUUCUAACGUGGACCCGUAAUCCGGGUUGCGGACAGUGUCUGGUGGGUAGUUUGACUGGGGCGGUCUCCUCCUAAAGAGUAACGGAGGAGCACGAAGGUUGGCUAAUCCUGGUCGGACAUCAGGAGGUUAGUGCAAUGGCAUAAGCCAGCUUGACUGCGAGCGUGACGGCGCGAGCAGGUGCGAAAGCAGGUCAUAGUGAUCCGGUGGUUCUGAAUGGAAGGGCCAUCGCUCAACGGAUAAAAGGUACUCCGGGGAUAACAGGCUGAUACCGCCCAAGAGUUCAUAUCGACGGCGGUGUUUGGCACCUCGAUGUCGGCUCAUCACAUCCUGGGGCUGAAGUAGGUCCCAAGGGUAUGGCUGUUCGCCAUUUAAAGUGGUACGCGAGCUGGGUUUAGAACGUCGUGAGACAGUUCGGUCCCUAUCUGCCGUGGGCGCUGGAGAACUGAGGGGGGCUGCUCCUAGUACGAGAGGACCGGAGUGGACGCAUCACUGGUGUUCGGGUUGUCAUGCCAAUGGCACUGCCCGGUAGCUAAAUGCGGAAGAGAUAAGUGCUGAAAGCAUCUAAGCACGAAACUUGCCCCGAGAUGAGUUCUCCCUGAGACUUUAGGUCUCCUGAAGGAACGUUGAAGACGACGACGUUGAUAGGCCGGGUGUGUAAGCGCAGCGAUGCGUUGAGCUAACCGGUACUAAUGAACCGUGAGGCUUAACCUUACAACGCCGAAG